Molecule: ribosomal RNA, 310 nt
Filed under: Penicillium olsonii
Lineage: Eukaryota; Fungi; Ascomycota; Eurotiomycetes; Eurotiales; Aspergillaceae
Description: SSU rRNA
Rfam family: Eukaryotic small subunit ribosomal RNA
Source: RNAcentral
UUACUGGAAAAAAUUAGAGUGUUCAAAGCAGGCCUUUGCUCGAAUACAUUAGCAUGGAAUAAUAGAAUAGGACGUGCGGUUCUAUUUUGUUGGUUUCUAGGACCGCCGUAAUGAUUAAUAGGGAUAGUCGGGGGCGUCAGUAUUCAGCUGUCAGAGGUGAAAUUCUUGGAUUUGCUGAAGACUAACUACUGCGAAAGCAUUCGCCAAGGAUGUUUUCAUUAAUCAGGGAACGAAAGUUAGGGGAUCGAAGACGAUCAGAUACCGUCGUAGUCUUAACCAUAAACUAUGCCGACUAGGGAUCGGACGGGAU